This 51-nucleotide transfer RNA is filed under the name Menyanthes trifoliata. RNAcentral describes it as "partial tRNA-Leu". Lineage: Eukaryota; Viridiplantae; Streptophyta; Magnoliopsida; Asterales; Menyanthaceae. The record is from RNAcentral.
GAAAAUCCGUCGAUUUUGAAAAUCGUGAGGGUUCAAGUCCCUCUAUCCCCA